Molecule: long non-coding RNA, 234 nt
Organism: Bufo bufo (common toad)
Lineage: Eukaryota; Metazoa; Chordata; Amphibia; Anura; Bufonidae
Exons: 3
Source: RefSeq, a predicted model, not a curated record
UCCUGAAAAAGCUAACGCGAAAAGUGCGUAGAGGACCACGCCAGGCAGCGACAGCUCACUCACACACAGCGGGAUAUCGGGUAAGAGAGAUCUGACCUGCUCGGUACACAUAUGAUCUGCACCUUUCUGAUGCAUAUAUGUGUAUACUUGUACUGAGCCGGCUAUAUUCCACAUGUAUCAUCUGUACCCGCUAGACUCGCAUCGCAUAUUGAGGCUAGCUAUUAUGGUGAUAUG